AUCCCAUCACAAACCAGACCACACAUCUCAACAUUAGUCAACUCUGUUGGACAUGUUAUGUUAGUGCUGAUGUUAGAGAUCAGAGUCUGCCUUCAUUGAACAUGAUGCUGAUUUCUGCUGCCGCAGCUGCUGGAUCUCUGUUGAUUGUAGCUGCUGCCGUGACUUACCUCAUCUGCAAGAAAUGUAAAAAAACAGUCCAGACACAGGAAGAAGACAGAACUGAUUCAGCCUUGUGUAAAACAAAAUCACAAAAAGCGGUAAGAUCAUUUGUGAUUGUGUUGCAGAAAGACAUGUUGCAGUCAGUUAUGCUGAUUUA
Molecule: long non-coding RNA, 316 nt
Organism: Carassius auratus (goldfish)
Lineage: Eukaryota; Metazoa; Chordata; Actinopteri; Cypriniformes; Cyprinidae
Exons: 3
Source: RefSeq, a predicted model, not a curated record